AGAGUUUGAUCAUGGCUCAGGACGAACGCUGGCGGCGUGCCUAACACAUGCAAGUCGAGCGGGGAGAGAUUUUCGGAUUUCUCUUUAGCGGCGGACGGGUGAGUAACACGUGGGUAACCUGCCUCAAAGUGGGGGAUAGCCUUCCGAAAGGAAGAUUAAUACCGCAUAAUAUCUUGAUGCUGCAUGGCAUUGAGAUUAAAGGAGCAAUCCGCUUUGAGAUGGACCCGCGGCGCAUUAGCUAGUUGGUGAGGUAACGGCCCACCAAGGCGACGAUGCGUAGCCGACCUGAGAGGGUGAUCGGCCACAUUGGAACUGAGACACGGUCCAGACUCCUACGGGAGGCAGCAGUGGGGAAUAUUGCACAAUGGGGGAAACCCUGAUGCAGCAACGCCGCGUGAGUGAUGAAGGCCUUCGGGUCGUAAAGCUCUUUGAUCAGGGACGAUAAUGACGGUACCUGAAAAACAAGCCACGGCUAACUACGUGCCAGCAGCCGCGGUAAUACGUAGGUGGCGAGCGUUGUCCGGAUUUACUGGGCGUAAAGAAUGCGUAGGUGGAUAUUUAAGUGGGAUGUGAAAUCCCCGGGCUCAACCCGGGAACUGCAUACCAAACUGGAUAUCUGGAGUGCAGGAGAGGAAAGCGGAAUUCCUAGUGUAGCGGUGAAAUGCGUAGAUAUUAAGAGGAACACCAGUGGCGAAGGC
This 698-nucleotide ribosomal RNA is filed under the name uncultured Clostridiaceae bacterium. Its description in RNAcentral is "bacterial SSU rRNA". It matches the Rfam family "Bacterial small subunit ribosomal RNA", at positions 8 to 722 of the family's 1533-position model. Lineage: Bacteria; Bacillati; Bacillota; Clostridia; Eubacteriales; Clostridiaceae. The record is from RNAcentral.